GGUAUGACUUUUGACAAUGGAUUUCUCAGCUCUCGCAUCGAUGAACAACGUAGCAAAAUGCGAUACCUAGUGUGAAUUGUAGUAUCUUGCAAACCAUCAAGUCUUUGAAUACAAGUUGCGCUUGAGGCUACCAGGCCAAGAGCAUGCCUACCUGGGCAUCAUGC
This 164-nucleotide ribosomal RNA is filed under the name Sabal mexicana. RNAcentral's name for it is "5.8S ribosomal RNA". It matches the Rfam family "5.8S ribosomal RNA". From Rfam's summary of the family: 5.8S ribosomal RNA (5.8S rRNA) is a component of the large subunit of the eukaryotic ribosome. It is transcribed by RNA polymerase I as part of the 45S precursor that also contains 18S and 28S rRNA. Functionally, it is thought that 5.8S rRNA may be involved in ribosome translocation. The record is from RNAcentral. Lineage: Eukaryota; Viridiplantae; Streptophyta; Magnoliopsida; Arecales; Arecaceae.